Molecule: unclassified non-coding RNA, 751 nt
Filed under: Hevea brasiliensis (rubber tree)
Lineage: Eukaryota; Viridiplantae; Streptophyta; Magnoliopsida; Malpighiales; Euphorbiaceae
Source: RNAcentral
AGCGUCUGCCUCAGCAAACUGUGACACUAUAUCACGUUUACAGCUCGAAGAGAGAAGCAGAGUACUGUGAAGAAGCGAAAAGGGGGGAGAAUUGGGAUUUCGGAAGAGCAGAAAAUGGGAAACUCUCAGUCGAAUUCAACGAAUCCACGUUUUGAUUUAGCCAAGAGAGCUUUCACAGAGAGGAAAUUGGAAGACUUGAAAUCGUUGUUCGAUUCACUAGCUGCACAAUCACAGAGCAAUGGAAAAUACGUUUCUUCUUCUGUUUUCAAGGCAUAUAUUGGAGUUGAAGGGCCAUUGGGUGAUAGAAUGUUCGAUUUGGUCACCCAGAAGCGUAAGGAUCAAAAGCUUACAUAUGAGGACCUUGUGAUUGCUAAAGGAACCUAUGAAAAAGGGACAAAUGCUGAUAUUGAAGAGUUUAUCUAUCAGUUGUUAGAUGUCUUUGAUGAUGGCGUUGUUGGAAGAUCAGAUCUGGAAGCAGUCUUGACUGCAGUACUAAGAAAUAUAUCUUCUCAUGAGAGCCAUCAAUCUGAACCUAGUCCGGACAGGGAAAUUCUCGACAUUUUCCUCAAUGCUGCAAAUUUGACAACGGAUGAUACAAAAUGCGCUGAAAGUUGUAUGUCUUUUGAGGAAUUUAAAAGUUGGUGUGCCCGUCUUCCAUCAGUAAGGAAGUUUCUCGGAACUCUGUUGUCUACACGUGAUUCAGGCUCUGAGGUUCCUAUGCUAGUAUACCCAGAGAACAUUGAUCCUGCUG